GCGGUGGCGCUGCUUACCAUGCAGUCGAACGGAAUCCAUGGUGUAGCAAUACACCGGAAGAUUUAGUGGCGAACGGGUGAGGAUCACGUGAGAAACGUGCCCCAGACUCUGGGAUAACAAUUGGAAACGAUUGCUAAUACCGGAUGACGUCGGAGAAUCGCAUGAUUCACUGACGAAAGAUAUUUCGGUUUGGGAGCGUCUCGCGGCCUAUCAGCUUGUUGGUGGGGUAAUGGCCCACCAAGGCAACGACGGGUAGCUGGUCUGAGAGGAUGAUCAGCCACACUGGGACUGAGACACGGCCCAGACUCCUACGGGAGGCAGCAGUGGGGAACCUUGCGCAAUGGGCGAAAGCCUGACGCAGCAACGCCGCGUGCGGGAUGAAGGCCUUCGGGCUGUAAACCGCUUUCAGCAGGAACGAAAAUGACGGUACCUGCAGAAGAAGGAGCGGCCAACUACGUGCCAGCAGCCGCGGUGACACGUAGGCUCCAAGCGUUGUCCGGAUUUAUUGGGCGUAAAGAGCUCGUAGGCGGUUGAGUAAGUCGGGUGUGAAAACUCUGGGCUUAACCCGGAGACGCCAUCCGAUACUGCUCUGACUAGAGUUCAGGAGGGGAGUGGGGAAUUCCUAGUGUAGCGGUGAAAUGCGCAGAUAUUAGGAGGAACACCGGUGGCGAAGGCGCCACUCUGGACUGAAACUGACGCUGAGGAGCGAAAGCAUGGGUAGCAAACAGGAUUAGAUACCCUGGUAAUCCAUGCCGUAAACGGUGGGCACUAGGUGUGGGUUCCAACUAACGGGAUCCGCGCCGUCGCUAACGCAUUAAGUGCCCCGCCUGGGGAGUACGGUCGCAAGACUAAAACUCAAAGGAAUUGACGG
This 871-nucleotide ribosomal RNA is filed under the name uncultured Actinomycetes bacterium. RNAcentral describes it as "bacterial SSU rRNA". It matches the Rfam family "Bacterial small subunit ribosomal RNA", at positions 35 to 916 of the family's 1533-position model. The record is from RNAcentral. Lineage: Bacteria; Bacillati; Actinomycetota; Actinomycetes.